This 363-nucleotide ribosomal RNA is filed under the name uncultured bacterium. Its description in RNAcentral is "bacterial SSU rRNA". It matches the Rfam family "Bacterial small subunit ribosomal RNA", at positions 28 to 372 of the family's 1533-position model. The record is from RNAcentral.
GAUGAACGCUGGCGGCGUGCUUAACACAUGCAAGUCGAACGGAGUUUAUGUGAUUGAGGAUUCGUCCAAAUGAUCAUAAGCUUAGUGGCGGACGGGUGAGUAACGCGUGAGUAACCUGCCUUGGAGUGGGGAAUAACACAGAGAAAUUUGUGCUAAUACCGCAUAAUGCAUUUGUAUCGCAUGGUACUGAAUGCCAAAGAUUUAUCGCUCUGAGAUGGACUCGCGUCUGAUUAGCUAGUUGGCGGGGUUAACGGGCCCACCAAGGCGACGAUCAGUAGCCGGACUGAGAGGUUGGCCGGCCACAUUGGGACUGAGACACGGCCCAGACUCCUACGGGAGGCAGCAGUGGGGAUAUUGGGCAAU